RNAcentral lists this long non-coding RNA (3262 nucleotides) under Homo sapiens (human). RNAcentral describes it as "non-protein coding lnc-LCN10-2:6". The record is from RNAcentral. Lineage: Eukaryota; Metazoa; Chordata; Mammalia; Primates; Hominidae.
GCUCAGGUGCUUGGUGCCAGGCCCUCAAGAAGGUGGUGGGGGCUGUGUGUGUGGCUGCCGCGCAGAGCUCACCAUGUCCACAUCUGCCCCAGAAGGGCCACGACCAGCCCUUUGCCUGUCACCUGGGAGGUCUAGGAUGAGGGCCAGGGCUUAAUGAGUCUCAGGGGCACACACAGUGACCCCAGGCCGGGCACUGAGGGCAGGAGGGUCCUGGGGCCUCAGAGGGGCCUCUGUCUGCCAGGGCAGCCCAGGCCAGCAGUGACCACCAGGUGGGGCAGUGCCGGCUUCCCUGGAGUGUCUGGGGGUGGUCCCUGGGCGGGGAGAGGGUAGCAGAGCCCAAGGCCACACCUGUUGCCUCCCUCCGCUCCCUCCCCUCCCUCCUCUCCCGACACAGGCUGGCGGCUCCAGAGAGGUUUAAACACUGGCCUUGGCGGCUGAGGGAGGAGGGUGAAGAUGAGGCAGGGGCUGCUGGUGCUGGCGCUGGUGCUGGUGCUGGUGCUAGUGCUGGCUGCAGGGUCCCAGGUGCAGGAGUGGUACCCCAGGGAGUCCCACGCCCUCAACUGGAACAAGGUGAGCCAUGUGCCACUGGUCCCUGAGCCGGGCGCCGGCUCUGGAGCUGGAGCAGGCUCCUGCACAGUCUCCCGGCAGCCGCCCAGGAGCAGGGCUACCAGCAGUUCCAGGCACGGGCGCUGCCCACCUGGCCUCUCCCACUGCAGCCUCCAGCACAGGGGCCCCGCAAGUUGCAGGGCAAAGGCAGGGAGCCUCGAGGGGGUUCGGGGGCCCAGGGGGGUCAGGGAGGGCCAGGGUGGAGGGGCCCAGAGAGCUGUGGCCGAGGAGGUCGGGAGACGCCCAGAGUGCAGAGUGGGUGUGGAGCAAGCGGGGCAUAUUCUGUAGCGGGAGGGCCCGGGCACCUGCUGAGUGAGCCGUGGGAGCAGCACUCAUUGGCACGGCGGUGCCCAGGGCGCUAGGGUUGGCAGCAGGCAGAGUUGGGGGCCGGGGGCCGGCAGGAAGGGAAGUGGCCGAGCAGUACCCAGCCCCCAGGAGGCCAUGUGGGAAGGAGCCGGGGCCUCUGAGGUAGGGGGCCUCCCACCUGCUGGCGCCCACAGCCCAGCCCUUUGCUGCCUGGGGUCCCUGACCAGCCGGGCACCUGCUUCUCUGCAGCCCUGCUCCAGUGGCCAGGGCUUGAGUGGCCGGGACCGAGGCGGCACCUGGGCGGAGCUGGGACUCCGGCUCACAGAAGGGUCAUUUGUCUCCUGGGUUCUCUAGCUGGGAACCUCGGGGGUGGGGACAGCCCCCGGUGGCAGCUCCUGUCCCCGCCCACACAUCCGCUGCGCAGUUUUCAGGGUUCUGGUACAUUCUGGCCACUGCCACUGAUGCCCAGGGAUUCUUGCCGGCCAGGGACAAGAGGAAGCUGGGGGCGUCCGUGGUAAAGGUGAACAAAGUGGGCCAGCUCCGCGUGCUCCUCGCCUUCAGACGAGGAAGCCACCUGCAGCCCCUGGGACCCCACAUGGGUGGGUGUUGGGAGGAAGCUGCCUGCAGACCUUGGGACCCCACAUGGGUUGAAGGGGUGCCAGUCCCAGGAGGUGAUCCUGAGGAAAGACGGGAAGAAGCCGGUGUUUGGGAACGCCUGUGCAUACGCGGCGGGCCCGAGGGAAGGACAGGAGGGAGUGAAAGGGGUGAAGGCCUUCCACGUGCUGUCCACUGACUACAGCUACGGCUUGGUCUACCUCCGCCUGGGGCGUGCAACCCAAAACUACAAGAACCUGCUGCUCUUCCAUAGGCAGAAUGUUUCGAGCUUCCAGAGUCUGAAGGAAUUCAUGGACGCUUGUGACAUUCUGGGGCUCUCCAAGGCCGCCGUCAUCCUCCCGAAAGACGCGUCCCGUACACACACCAUCCUGCCAUGAGAGCCAGCGUCCUCUGCUCUUCCCUUUCGACGCGUGGUCCUCCCAGACCCGAGGAGCGUUGUUCCAGAUGUCAAGUGGAGACCACGGCUUGUUGAGAGGUGUUUGGUGACUCUAGGUCAUUGACAGUGUGAAAAUCAAGUGGCUCAAGGGAUCCUUUAUGAUCACAGAAAGAUGGGGGAAGGAGGAUACAGGCUGACCGGGUGGCGAGAUGUCAGCCAGGCCCCUUCCCCACUGUCUUCUGGAGCACACUGCAGGCUGCUGCUAUUCCCUGUCUGCUGUGAAACAGACCACAGGCCGGCCCAACGCAGUCCUCGCCGUGUGCCUUGCCUCUGCCCUCCACGCCGCCGCCACCCUCCGCGUUCCUUUACAUCCUGCACUUUCUCAGGAAGCCGUUCGCAUAUCCACCCAACAUGGAGGAGCCCCCAUGACGUGCCAGGCAGCGUGCUGGCCCCUGCGGCUGCGUUAGGGAACAGAAUCGGCAAACGCAGUCCCAGAGUUGAUGCCUGAUCAGGAGAAGCCAACUUCAGCAGUGUGGUCACCUGGAUACUCGAGUAUAGACCCUAGAUCACCUGGAUACUCGAGUAUAGACCCUAGAAGUGUAUCUAGGCGCGGCCAGGGCCCCACAACAGCAGGUCUGACUCAUUCCAUCCAGGGCAGCAUCAGGGAGAGCUUCCUGGGGGAAGUGGCAUUUGGGCUGACCUGGGAAGGGUGGUGGGUGUUAAGUCAGUUUGGGUGGGGCUGGAGGAGCAGGGGUGCAUCCCCAGAACAGGAUGUGACUUCUGAAAAGACAUCAGAGUAGAGAAAAUGGUUUCUCAAGGAGAUUGGGGACGCCAGUAUCAGAAUGGCGGCGGGGAGAGCCACAGAGGAGCAGGAGGGGGCCCACCAGACCACGGCACCUCGAAGGCUGCGGUGAAGGCUUAGGUCUCACUCAAGGGGUGAUGACGGGAGGUUGUCUGAGAUGAACCCCCCAACUGAAUGAAUGGACCUUCUUCUGGCCAAGGGGAUCCCAAAGAAACCCUGAACCCGAGUCCUCAGCCAUGACGGGGUAAGGGGUCAGCCCCUCCUUCUGGCCCGAGAAGAGAUCAGAGAUUGGUUCUGGGCAGUCCAUGGAGAAUUUGCUCAGCUGGACCAGUACACGCUUCUCCUUUCAUGAAUAUUCAUGACUCCUCCUGAAGCUUAUUGAACAUCUCUAUUUGGCCAUCUCCUUCAGCGUAAAUUCCUGUCCCCUCUGUCCCUCCCCUCCAAGUGUCUGUUCCAGGCUUCUGGCCUGAGGCUACGCUUCCUAGCCUGUCAGAAGGGCUGCCCUGCUGGCUGCAAUCUCUUAUGAGAAAUAAAGCUCUCCUGUGUGCAAAAAAGUA